UGAAUGAUUGAAUAAGAAUUAAAUUGAUCUUUUGAUGAACACUGUAAAGUUAAAGUUUUUCUUUGAAUUGUCUCAACAGGGUUAACACCAAUGAUAUCCUCCAAAGUUGAGCAACUCAUAGAGCUCUUCCUCCAAACAUCUAUUUGAUGUGUUAUCAUAGUUCAAAGAGAAAUUGUCACAUUUUUCUCCAUUGCUCUAAAGCGUGGAUUUUGUGGACGAGAUUGUUUUCUUCUUUCGGGACUAAGUGUGUUGUCUCCCUUAUAUUAUUUUCUCUUGAGCCACUAUACAUUAAUCUUUCUAUUUCUUGAUUCUUUGUUUUUCAUCUAAGGUUCUCUCCUCAUUUAUAUAUUUUCCCUUGCUCAUAAAAUUCUUCUUCUCUCCAAAAAAAAAAAAAAGCAUUUCAUCCACUGUUAGAAAAACAUUCGAUCCAAAUCAUAUAGCAAAGUUGUUUUCCUACCUAGAUUGUUUGUUUACAUGGUGUUUCAAAAUGGACCACUUCAUAUCACCAAACCUAAAAUUUUAGUUCACUUUUGGCUUAUUUCAUGGAAAAGGUUUGACACAAGCUCAAAAUACAAAUAAUAUUGCUGAUACAUACUUGAACGUCCAAACUGAAAUGAUAAAUUGCAUUUUAGGAAAUUUAAUCCGUUGUAUUUGUGGAGAAAAGCCAAAACAAUGCAAUAAUGCACUUGCACAAGCAGCAUAAUUCCUCUAGCAAGUUGUGAUUCUCUAUUGUU
RNAcentral lists this long non-coding RNA (734 nucleotides) under Carica papaya (papaya). Its description in RNAcentral is "long non-coding RNA (CPAP_LNC016424)". The record is from RNAcentral. Lineage: Eukaryota; Viridiplantae; Streptophyta; Magnoliopsida; Brassicales; Caricaceae.